GAUGAACGCUGGCGGCGUGCUUAACACAUGCAAGUCGAACGAUGAAGCCCAGCUUGCUGGGUGGAUUAGUGGCGAACGGGUGAGUAACACGUGAGUAACCUGCCCUUAACUCUGGGAUAAGCCUGGGAAACUGGGUCUAAUACCGGAUAGGAGCGUCCACCGCAUGGUGGGUGUUGGAAAGAUUUAUCGGUUUUGGAUGGACUCGCGGCCUAUCAGCUUGUUGGUGAGGUAAUGGCUCACCAAGGCGACGACGGGUAGCCGGCCUGAGAGGGUGACCGGCCACACUGGGACUGAGACACGGCCCAGACUCCUACGGGAGGCAGCAGUGGGGAAUAUUGCACAAUAGGCGCAAGCCUGAUGCAGCGACGCCGCGUGAGGGAUGACGGCCUUCGGGUUGUAAACCUCUUUCAGUAGGGAAGAAGCGAAAGUGACGGUACCUGCAGAAGAAGCACCGGCUAACUACGUG
This 466-nucleotide ribosomal RNA is filed under the name uncultured bacterium. RNAcentral's name for it is "partial 16S ribosomal RNA". It matches the Rfam family "Bacterial small subunit ribosomal RNA", at positions 28 to 507 of the family's 1533-position model. The record is from RNAcentral.